Long non-coding RNA from Magnolia sinica, 540 nucleotides. RefSeq lists it as uncharacterized. The transcript is spliced from 4 exons. The record is from RefSeq and is a predicted model, not a curated record. Lineage: Eukaryota; Viridiplantae; Streptophyta; Magnoliopsida; Magnoliales; Magnoliaceae.
UCACAUUUUUUUAAAAAAAUGUACCACCUACUUUUUAUUUACUACUGAAGUUUGCCUGUAGUCUUGUGGCACAUGCAUUGUAAUAAUGCUGGCUAUAUUUGAUAAUUCAAUAAUUUUUAGUUGCAGGACAUUGAAGAAAUGUUGGAGCAUAGUCAAGGAACCACUCCUUCAUAUACUUUUAGCAAUGGAAAACCGGAUUAUGGUGAUAUGUUUGACGCCCAAGAGGGGUUUUUUCAUGGACUCACCACCUCUGUUAGCAAUGGCUUCAAUGGCGUCAAUUCUGGUUGGAGCAGUGCUUUUAGUGAUCUUAUUUCGGAUCUGUACAGUCAAGCUGAGCAGAUAUCCACUGUUUCUACUCUAGAUUGAAAGACGAAGCACGAUUUUUCAUACUUGACCAUCUUGAUGAUCUCAAGAAAGCCAAGAAGGAUGCUGCUCUUUCUAGUGAUGAAGUAAAGGUUAUGGCCUUUGAUGAGGAAAUUCAUCCAAUGGAGAUAUAUCUGGAUGAUGAGGCCAAGUUGACCCUGCAUGGUCUCGUACAGG